UACGUAGGGCGCGAGCGUUGUCCGGAAUUAUUGGGCGUAAAGAGCUCGUAGGCGGCCUGUUGCGUCCGCUGUGAAAUCCCAGGGCUCAACCCUGGGCGUGCAGUGGAUACGGGCAGGCUGGAGGCAGGCAGGGGAGAACGGAAUUCCCGGUGUAGCAGUGAAAUGCGUAGAUAUCGGGAGGAACACCAGUGGCGAAGGCGGCCUUCUGGACCAGUACUGACGCUCAUGCACGAAAGCGUGGGGAGCAAACAGG
RNAcentral lists this ribosomal RNA (253 nucleotides) under uncultured bacterium. Its description in RNAcentral is "partial 16S ribosomal RNA". It matches the Rfam family "Bacterial small subunit ribosomal RNA", at positions 524 to 776 of the family's 1533-position model. The record is from RNAcentral.